GCCUGAUCCAGCCAUGCCGCGUGUGUGAAGAAGGUCUUCGGAUUGUAAAGCACUUUAAGUUGGGAGGAAGGGCAGUAGAUUAAUACUUUGCUGUUUUGACGUUACCCACAGAAUAAGCACCGGCUAACUCCGUGCCAGCAGCCGCGGUAAUACGGAGGGUGCAAGCGUUAAUCGGAAUUACUGGGCGUAAAGCGCGCGUAGGUGGUUCGUUAAGUUGGAUGUGAAAUCCCCGGGCUCAACCUGGGAACUGCAUUCGAAACUGACAAGCUAGAGUAUGGUAGAGGGUGGUGGAAUUUCCUGUGUAGCGGUGAAAUGCGUAGAGAUAGGAAGGAACACCAGUGGCGAAGGCGACCCCCUGGA
RNAcentral lists this ribosomal RNA (360 nucleotides) under uncultured Pseudomonas sp. RNAcentral's name for it is "bacterial SSU rRNA". It matches the Rfam family "Bacterial small subunit ribosomal RNA", at positions 381 to 733 of the family's 1533-position model. Lineage: Bacteria; Pseudomonadati; Pseudomonadota; Gammaproteobacteria; Pseudomonadales; Pseudomonadaceae. The record is from RNAcentral.